This 468-nucleotide ribosomal RNA is filed under the name uncultured bacterium. RNAcentral describes it as "partial 16S ribosomal RNA". It matches the Rfam family "Bacterial small subunit ribosomal RNA", at positions 28 to 507 of the family's 1533-position model. The record is from RNAcentral.
GACGAACGCUGGCGGCGUGCUUAACACAUGCAAGUCGAACGGAAAGGCCCUGCUUUUGUGGGGUGCUCGAGUGGCGAACGGGUGAGUAACACGUGAGUAACCUGCCCUUGACUUUGGGAUAACUUCAGGAAACUGGGGCUAAUACCGGAUAGGAGCUCCUGCUGCAUGGUGGGGGUUGGAAAGUUUCGGCGGUUGGGGAUGGACUCGCGGCUUAUCAGCUUGUUGGUGGGGUAGUGGCUUACCAAGUCUUUGACGGGUAGCCGGCCUGAGAGGGUGACCGGCCACAUUGGGACUGAGAUACGGACCAGACUCCUACGGGAGGCAGCAGUGGGGAAUAUUGCACAACGGGCGGAAGCCUGAUGCAGCAACGUCGCGUGCGGGAUGACGGCCUUCGGGUUGUAAACCGCUUUCGCCUGUGACGAAGCGUGAGUGACGGUAAUGGGUAAAGAAGCACCGGCUAACUACGUG